This 253-nucleotide ribosomal RNA is filed under the name uncultured bacterium. RNAcentral describes it as "partial 16S ribosomal RNA". It matches the Rfam family "Bacterial small subunit ribosomal RNA", at positions 524 to 776 of the family's 1533-position model. The record is from RNAcentral.
UACGGAGGGGGCUAGCGUUGUUCGGAAUUACUGGGCGUAAAGCGCGCGCAGGCGGUCCUUUAAGUCUGAUGUGAAAGCCCACGGCUCAACCGUGGAGGGUCAUUGGAAGCUGGGGGACUUGAGUGCAGGAGAGAAGAGUGGAAUUCCACGUGUAGCGGUGAAAUGCGUAGAGAUGUGGAGGAACACCAGUGGCGAAGGCGACUCACUGGCCCGGUACUGACGCUGAGGUGCGAAAGCGUGGGGAGCAAACAGG